Molecule: ribosomal RNA, 375 nt
Filed under: uncultured organism
Description: partial 16S ribosomal RNA
Rfam family: Bacterial small subunit ribosomal RNA
Source: RNAcentral
GUAGGUGGCAAGCGUUGUCCGGAAUUAUUGGGCGUAAAGCGCGCGCAGGUGGUUCUUUAAGUCUGAUGUGAAAGCCCCCGGCUCAACCGGGGAGGGUCAUUGGAAACUGGGGAGCUUGAGUGCGGGAGAGGAAAGUGGAAUUCCACGUGUAGCGGUGAAAUGCGUAGAUAUGUGGAGGAACACCAGUGGCGAAGGCGACUUUCUGGCCUGUAACUGACACUGAGGCGCGAAAGCGUGGGGAGCAAACAGGGAUUAGAUACCCUGGUAGUCCACGCCGUAAACGAUGAGUGCUAAGUGUUGGGGGGGUUUCCCGCCCCGUCAGUGCUGCAGCUAACGCAUUAAGCACUCCGCCUGGGGAGUACGGUCGCAAGACUG